RNAcentral lists this long non-coding RNA (230 nucleotides) under Solanum tuberosum (potato). RNAcentral describes it as "long non-coding RNA (STUB_LNC004827)". The record is from RNAcentral. Lineage: Eukaryota; Viridiplantae; Streptophyta; Magnoliopsida; Solanales; Solanaceae.
GGAAAUAAUAUAUGUCCUUUGGAAGAAUGGUCCAACACUUAGAAAAAAAAUGAGGCGGGUGAACAGUAACCACGCCUACUGGAAAUUGCCUUUUCCUGCCGAACAGAUUUUACGAAAAUGGGCAUAACUUCUUCGUCCGAACUCCGAAUGAGGUGAAACGAAGUGCGUUAGGUAGCUAACUCAAAGGGCUUUCCAUGGAUAUAUUAUUGGCCACCCAAAUAAUUUGUGUG